This is a long non-coding RNA of Astyanax mexicanus (Mexican tetra), 441 nucleotides long. RefSeq lists it as uncharacterized. The record is from RefSeq and is a predicted model, not a curated record. Lineage: Eukaryota; Metazoa; Chordata; Actinopteri; Characiformes; Acestrorhamphidae. The transcript has 2 exons.
UCACGUGAUACUCACAGGGGCGGGAAACACACACAGCUGGCCUGACUCACACUGCACUGUACUUCAGAGCGCGUUUUUGUGGCUAAAAAGUGAGAAAUUAAGCAGUAAACGAGUUAAAAAGUAACUGAAGGAACUUUUUGAAGGAGCACGUUAUUGUUUUUGCACAGUGGACUAAUUUCGGACCCUCACCGGAGCACGAGGACGCCGCAGCUGAUUAGAACCGAAGCAGGGCCACGCCCGCCAGUGUCCAUUUGGAUGGAUUCUCUUUGGUCUUCAGGUUGAACGUCCACACGUAUGUGGGCCCCCUCUGUCUGGUCUUGUAGACGGGACACUGAUACACGUUCCGCGUCUCCUGCUUGUCAACAGGUACUGCCUUUAUGAAAAUCACUGGGAUGGCUGGGGUCAGCUCUUUCAGGCGGGCAUCCACUAUUACUCCAGCCU